AAUAUUUGUCAUGUUAAUAUUUGUAUCUGAUGUAUCUUGUUAGGUUCAAUUGUUUCCUUGAAAAACAGGUCAAAAACCAUAAAUAAGAAACAAAUUUAAUGAUUUUACAGAAGUAUAAUCUACCAUAUUAGUAGAAUUAAGGGGCAGAUUUAUGGGGUAGGCUAGCACAAUUUUAUUUUAAUUAUAGAAUAACGAAAAUGAAAAAAUGGAAUAAUAUCCAUCUUCAUUUAUCAACACCAACCUAAUCGUUGAAAACCAGUGGUGAAAGAAAAACCUUCUCUGCAAACUCGACCUCUCUGUCAUUUACCUUUUCUUGGCAAAAUUAAGGUAUAAAAACCUUUUCUUCUCCUGUCUAGGGUUCGUAUAUUGGAAACAUAUCUUCGUCGAUUUCUGCAGAAUAACACGAAGAAAGCUCUAAUCCUUGCUGAUUGGGAUAUGCACAGGUGACAACAAACUCACCUAAGUGAUUCCAUCCAUCAUCUCAGAUUACUCAGUGGAUAUGAAAAAACAAAGGAACUUGUUCAAGGGCAAACGAACGAUUAAGCGUUGCUGGAAUAAAGGUUCAAAGAAACCGACUUCAAAAGAACCAAUAUCCUUCACAAGUGAAGGUGAGGUAUGCAUUUCAUCUCUUUUAUUAAAAAGUAACAAAAGCAUUAUUGUAAUUGUUAGAUAAUUAAAAGAACUAUUGUGAUUGUUAGAUAACGUUGCUUUUUAGAACGAAUUUAUGGUGAAGUGGACCAUUUAGAUAUUUCGUGGUUUUAACUGACGCAUCAUGGUCACAUGUGUGUUUAUUAUCAGGUCGAAAUCUUGUAUUUGCAAGAUUAUUUGUCGAAAUAAUCGAAUUAAAAGCACAAUUUUCGGAUUAUACAAUAAAAACAUUCUACUUGAUAA
Long non-coding RNA from Cucumis sativus (cucumber), 891 nucleotides. RefSeq lists it as uncharacterized. NCBI's taxonomy places the organism in Eukaryota, Viridiplantae, Streptophyta, Magnoliopsida, Cucurbitales, Cucurbitaceae. The transcript is spliced from 2 exons. The record is from RefSeq and is a predicted model, not a curated record.